Pieris napi is the source of this 1931-nucleotide RNA transcript. It is a transcript of the gene named zinc finger and SCAN domain-containing protein 12-like, with no coding region annotated. The transcript has 13 exons. The record is from RefSeq and is a predicted model, not a curated record. Lineage: Eukaryota; Metazoa; Arthropoda; Insecta; Lepidoptera; Pieridae.
UUGACCAUAGUUUUAAAUAAAAUGGAAGAGUUGUGUCCCGGUUGCCUGUGUUCAGGAAGAAAAUUAACUUACAUUAGCGGAACCUCUGUUUACUAUUUUUACAAACAAAUUGUUGAUGAAAUUGCCGCUCCAGAAGUGCUACCGCAGCUUUCAAAGGUUUGUUGGGAAUGUACAGCGCUGCUCCGUCGAUUCCAAUGUUUCCAGCAGCAAGUAAAGUGCUGUUACCUUGAGCUACUAAUGUGCGUGCAGCAGAAUUCAAAACAAUCACUAUCAAAACCAUCACACCUUCAAUGUCAGUCAGCAGUUACUAUUAGCUUUCCAGAAGUGAAAGUAGAUGUGGAGAUUAAGGAGGAAACAGAGGAAGUUCAUUGUGAACCAGAGACAUUUGUUAACCAGUUAACUUGGGGAGAUGAUUUAGAAAAAGAUGUGCUACCCUGUGAACCUCAAGAUAUUAUAAAGAAACCUGAUAAGGCAGAGAAUAAACAAAAUCUGAAAGGCAAAACAAAGAAAAAGCAGAAAAAGAAAUUAAAACUAAAAAGAAAAACUAAAUUAAAGAAAGAAACAUCUGAGAGUGACCAUGACUUCGACGAUAAUGAGACUGAUUUUCAAAUUGAUGAUGAAAAAGUAGAUCAAAAUAUUGAACAAGACAUAGAAAAAAAUGUAAUAAAGGAAAAUUUAGAUAAAAAUGAAAUAAAUUUGGAGAAUGAAACUAAGGACAAAGACCAAUUAGAGAAAGAAGUGAAUGAAACACAGAUUGAAUUGGAUGAUGAUGUACCUGACGUAAAGAAUGAUGUUUCAGAGAAAGUGAUUGUAAGAAAUAGAGAACAAUUACCCGAGAGGCCUCAAUGUGUUGAAUGUGGGAAAGUGUUCAGUUCAAGGAAGACAUAUCGGUAUCACCUGAAUGUAUUACAUAAAGGCCAGAAUCGUCACCCGUGUCCAAAGUGCGGUAAAGUGUAUCAAUGGAAAUCGAAUCUGGGAAGACAUAUGCGAAGUCAUAAGGCGCGUGAAAGUGGUGAAUUGUAUUGUGUGAAAUGCGACAAGUCUUUUGCGUCUGUGGCGACGUACAGACAGCAUAUACGGGUGUCCAGACGACACGUGUCGGAAAGUGAGUUUACUUUCACAUGCGACGAAUGCGGAAAGAAGUUUGUGAGCAAGACACGCUUGCGUGACCAUGUUGAUUGGGAACAUUUAAACAAGAUUAAAUUCCGCUGUCAGCUGUGUAAUAAGCCAUUUAAAUGCCACACGUCGCUAUACGUACACCUUCAGAACGUGCACAGGAAUAAAGAAAGGAGAGACAACUUGUGCCAUGUCUGUGGGAAAUCAUAUCAGAAUGCAGCGAAAUUAAAAUACCACAUAGUGGCGAUGCAUACGAGUGAGACGCCAUAUCAGUGCGCCGACUGCGACGCGGCCUUUGGGUGGUACUCCUCGUUGUACCGGCACAUCCGGGAAGUGCAUUACAAGAUGAAAAUUCAAGCAAAGAAAAGUAAGAAGGAUAAAAAAUUACAGUUGCAAGAAUUGAUCCCGCUACCCUCAGAACCGCCGGGACCUUAGUUCUUUACCUUCGUCCGCAGUCUGUUGUGAUAAAGUAAUUUUGAUUUUUCAUUACAAAACUAGUAUUAUUUCUAUACAGAUGAAAGGAUUGCCUUUAUAACGAUACAUAAAAUGUCAGUACUUCCAAAAUUUGUUUUGAAGUAAUUUUGUUUGUUACAACAUAAUAUAGGCAGUUCACUGUCGUGAUUCGAGCUUACGACCUCAGUAAUGAGAAUCGACACUUCUUAAACAGUAAAAACAAAUUGCUUUGUUUAAUCGAAAAUAUUUUUUUCCAGUUUUGGUUAAUACAGUAUUAAUUUAGUAGUAGUUAGCACUUUAUUUUAUUCCUGAGUGAGACACUUGUGAUAUUUGAAGAUCUUAAAUAAAAAUUUGAUUAGAAA